This 589-nucleotide long non-coding RNA is filed under the name Ananas comosus (pineapple). RNAcentral's name for it is "long non-coding RNA (ACOM_LNC019246)". The record is from RNAcentral. Lineage: Eukaryota; Viridiplantae; Streptophyta; Magnoliopsida; Poales; Bromeliaceae.
UUCUAUCAAAAAUUCAACAAAUUCCGAUUCUUUUACACCGUUAAAUUAGCAAGUAUCCCAUACCGGCCAUUAAAAAUUGUCAAAUUUGUGCCCUCUUGAUCGUAAGGUAAAUGAUGUCGAAAAAUUAUAAAAUUUGAUUUCUAAAAGUUUUAAAUGCUGUAAAUAACGUUUAACGGUAUGGAUCGUCAAUUCGGAAGCUCUAUCAUCGAAAACAAUUUAUGAGUACGAGAGCGAUCGUACUCAUAAUAGUAUAGUAGCCGGACCCUAUAUAUAUAUAUAUAUAUAUAUAUAUAUAACUAGGCUGGAAUAAUAUUAAUAGCACCAAUAACUUGGCGCUACUAAAUUUUCUGCUCUUGAUCUUAAUCAUUUAAUAAUAAGUAUUUGUGUCUGAUCACUGGCACUAACCAUUAAUCCCAAAAAGACGAACAAUUAAAAAUGCGCAACUAAUUCACUUAAGAUGUACAGAUAUAGUGCUUAUGGGCUUCGAUUGUGAUUCAGCUUAAACAGUCUCAUGCCACUUUGAAUAUGACUCAGCCCAACCCAGCCUCAUACUAUUUCACUACACGUGACUUGGCUCAACCUGAUUUUU